Molecule: long non-coding RNA, 721 nt
Organism: Gossypium raimondii (Peruvian cotton)
Lineage: Eukaryota; Viridiplantae; Streptophyta; Magnoliopsida; Malvales; Malvaceae
Exons: 3
Source: RefSeq, a predicted model, not a curated record
UUCCAAAAAAAAUUUUUGGUUACCCGCUCAUUACUCCCUCUUCUUCUCAUCUCAGUCGUGCGCCCUAAAUCCCCCAAAUAAAAGUUUGUUUUUCUUCAGCUGAAAUCCCCCAAAUUUCCCAUUUCCAACAACAGACUUCAUGGAAGAAAACCAGAAGAUGGGAUGGAAUCACCCAGACAUAUCGCUGGAAGAAAUGAUGAAACUAAUAGAAGGGUUUGUUGAUAUCCUGGUUUUGUCUUCUGGGUAUCAAUCCUCUGGUCUUCCCGCUCACUAGGACUUUGAUAACAUCAAGCGAGCCUUUCAAUGGGCCUUCUUCUUUGAAAAUAUCAGUAGUCUGUACCCUCUUUGAAAAUGUCUGAUAAGAGAUGCUAAGUCGGAUUUUGUUCCAGAUCUUCAACAGCAGGUAGUAUAUAAUAUUUCCUUUUGAUGAAUACAAUAUUUCCUCUGCGUUUCGAGAAAGACUAGAACACAUGGAACAUUCUAGAAACCAACGUCUAAUGCUCCUCCUGGCGGAGAAAGAGCUGCAAGCGCACAAAUCUCAGGUUUUGGAAUCGAAGCUAAAACAAUAAGGGUAUAUGAAGAUUGGAUAACCAGGAAUGUAGCAGUUUGCAUUGUAUUUUUAUUACCAAGAUUUACUUGAUUAAGAAAAUGUAUUGUAUUUUUAUUACCUUGCAAUGUGUAUAGUUAUUGGCAAGUUCAACUAAUCAGUCUAUUUCUCAUA